GUUAUAUAUAUCAUGGAAGUAUUAUAUUGACAGGAACUACAACGAUUUAUUAGCACUUAUUUAUAACCCGGGGAGCUCUGUAGAAAAGAUAUGGAAACUGACUAAUUAGUAUGUUAUCGUUAAUAGCCCUUUGUGACCAUGUGCGAUGCCGCCGUCCUAAACUGACCAGACAUACUUCUUAUCAUCACGUGGUUUUUAUUGCGAAAGGUUAUCUCUAAUACCUGUCGGAAAACCCCUUUGUUUAUUUCAAUCUCGUCUGUGGUCUUUCAGAAUUAUUCAAUUUUUCAAAACAAAUCGACUGAUGUACAAAACAAGAAAAUCGGACGAGAACUUUGAAUACUACAACGUUUUGAAGUGGUGAGUGACAAUAUUUCAUUAGUUUGUGGGUUAAGUUUAAAUCGUAAUUAAGGUGUGUUCCGGUUACCGCCGGUUAAAAAUAAAUAUAUUUGAUAAAAAUAAAUACUGUGAAGUUUCGAGUAGUCUAUAUAGUUAAGGUACUGGAUAAUCCUGGAAAGUAGAAAUUUCCAGUUUAAAAUACGAAAAUUAAUCGAACAAGUACCAACAUCAACAAAAUACAGCAGAAGAAAACAGAGAUCUCACUUCGUUGUGUAGCUAUUUAUAUAAUGUUGGUUAAUAUCUUUUUAAUUGUGAAUAUAAAAACUUCAUGUCUACCCGCAAUUGAAAGACCUUUCCGAUCAUAUAAAGCCAUGGUCAGUAUUUUAUCAUUUGAACAUGUAUGACUAUGCCAAUAUAUAUACUAGCCAAGAUUUAAAAAAAAAGUCUUAUGACCCGAGUAUUGUUUUCUCACAAGGACAAAUCUUAAAGUUAUCAACUUCUACUGUAAAUCUUAUACUUUAUAUAUGCACUUAAAAAAACAAGGUUUAAUGUCUAUAUCAAAAACGUAAACUGAAACUGUUUUACAGUGCACUUAACAUAUACAUGUCCAUGAAAUCAGAAUUCAGUGAUGUAUAUUUGGCAGUCAGGAUAUUUCAUAUAUAAUUAUAUACGUAAAGCCUUAUUUAACAUGGUGUUAUACCAACCCUGGAUUUGGAGUAAGUCUUAUAAUUGCUCUAUAAUCAAAUUGUCUUUUUUUAAAUCUUGAUUAAAUCGGCUCAAUUUUCAAUAUGUACAGUCCCGAAUAUGAAUGAAAUACAUGCCACUGGACGUAAGACAAACAACUUUCAAUCACAACUUAUGAUGUGCUUUUUCUACCCUUCAACCCUUUAAAACAAAUCCAAUAUAGUCUUUUUUUGUCAACAGAUAUGGUAAAUAAUGGACCCAGACUAUAACUGUCGUUUAUGUGGAACUACAGAAAAGAGAACUGCUCACCACCUACCA
RNAcentral lists this long non-coding RNA (1338 nucleotides) under Mytilus galloprovincialis (Mediterranean mussel). The record is from RNAcentral. Lineage: Eukaryota; Metazoa; Mollusca; Bivalvia; Mytilida; Mytilidae.